RNAcentral lists this ribosomal RNA (247 nucleotides) under uncultured bacterium. RNAcentral's name for it is "partial 16S ribosomal RNA". It matches the Rfam family "Bacterial small subunit ribosomal RNA", at positions 796 to 1041 of the family's 1533-position model. The record is from RNAcentral.
CACGCCCUAAACGAUGAUCACUAGACGUCAGAAAGCCUAAUCUUUUUGGUGUCGUAGCUAACGCGUUAAGUGAUCCGCCUGGGAAGUACGGUCGCAAGAUUAAAACUCAAAGAAAUUGACGGGGGCCCGCACAAGCGGUGGAGUAUGUGGUUUAAUUCGAUGCUACGCGAAAAACCUUACCUGGACUUGACAUCCCGCGCUAUCCUGUGAAAGCAGGAGUUUCCUUCGGGAACGCGGAGACAGGUGC